AUCGCUUCUCGGCCUUUUGGCUAAGAUCAAAGUGUAGUAUCUGUACUGGUGGUAGGACCUCUU
Non-coding RNA from Bombyx mori (domestic silkworm), 63 nucleotides. The record is from Rfam. Lineage: Eukaryota; Metazoa; Arthropoda; Insecta; Lepidoptera; Bombycidae.